RNAcentral lists this ribosomal RNA (332 nucleotides) under uncultured Rhizophagus. RNAcentral's name for it is "partial large subunit ribosomal RNA". The record is from RNAcentral. Lineage: Eukaryota; Fungi; Glomeromycota; Glomeromycetes; Glomerales; Glomeraceae.
CCAGUCGUACCUUCGGGUAAUCAGCCUUUCGGGUGCGAUUCUGUGGAGUGUGAGGAGCUUAAACACCUUCAUGUUUUGCAUAUUCGUACUCUUGGGUGUACUUGCCCGUGUGGUUGGUUAACAUCAAUUUUGGUGGUCAUAAAAUGACUGGAGGAAUGUAGCUUCGAUCUUGUAUUGAAGUGUUAUAGCCUUCGGUAGAUCUGAUGAUCGAGAUUGAGGAUUGCAACGGAUACCCUUCGGGGCUACCUGUCUGGUCUCUGAUCGUUGCUCUGGUGCCGAAAGCUUGCUUACGGUUAUCAAAGUCGAUGGUCAAUAGGUUAGAAUGGGUUAAA